GAUGAACGCUGGCGGCGUGCCUAAUACAUGCAAGUCGAGCGAACGGACGAGAAGCUUGCUUCCCUGAUGUUAGCGGCGGACGGGUGAGUAACACGUGGAUAACCUACCUAUAAGACUGGGAUAACUUCGGGAAACCGGAGCUAAUACCGGAUAAUAUUUCGAACCGCAUGGUUCAAAAGUGAAAGACGGUCUUGCUGUCACUUAUAGAUGGAUCCGCGCUGCAUUAGCUAGUUGGUAAGGUAACGGCUUACCAAGGCAACGAUGCAUAGCCGACCUGAGAGGGUGAUCGGCCACACUGGAACUGAGACACGGUCCAGACUCCUACGGGAGGCAGCAGUAGGGAAUCUUCCGCAAUGGGCGAAAGCCUGACGGAGCAACGCCGCGUGAGUGAUGAAGGUCUUCGGAUCGUAAAACUCUGUUAUUAGGGAAGAACAUAUGUGUAAGUAACUGUGCACAUCUUGACGGUACCUAAUCAGAAAGCCACGGCUAACUACGUG
Molecule: ribosomal RNA, 497 nt
Filed under: uncultured bacterium
Lineage: Bacteria
Description: partial 16S ribosomal RNA
Rfam family: Bacterial small subunit ribosomal RNA
Source: RNAcentral